UACGUAGGGCGCAAGCGUUGUCCGGAAUCAUUGGGCGUAAAGAGCUCGUAGGUGGUCUGUUACGUCUGCUGUGAAAUCCUAGGGCUUAACCCUGGGCCUGCAGUGGAUACGGGCAGACUAGAGGUAGGUAGGGGAGAAUGGAAUUCCCGGUGUAGCGGUGAAAUGCGCAGAUAUCGGGAGGAACACCGGUGGCGAAGGCGGUUCUCUGGGCCUUACCUGACACUGAGGCGCGACAGCGUGGGGAGCAAACAGG
RNAcentral lists this ribosomal RNA (253 nucleotides) under uncultured bacterium. RNAcentral describes it as "partial 16S ribosomal RNA". It matches the Rfam family "Bacterial small subunit ribosomal RNA", at positions 524 to 776 of the family's 1533-position model. The record is from RNAcentral.